CUUGGGUACUCGAGUGGCGAACGGGUGAGUAACACGUGGGUGAUCUGCCCUGCACUUCGGGAUAAGCCUGGGAAACUGGGUCUAAUACCGGAUAGGAGCCAUUUUUAGUGUGAUGGUUGGAAAGUUUUUCGGUGUAGGAUGAGCUCGCGGCCUAUCAGCUUGUUGGUGGGGUAAUGGCCUACCAAGGCGGCGACGGGUAGCCGGCCUGAGAGGGUGGACGGCCACAUUGGGACUGAGAUACGGCCCAG
RNAcentral lists this ribosomal RNA (248 nucleotides) under uncultured Actinomycetales bacterium. Its description in RNAcentral is "partial 16S ribosomal RNA". It matches the Rfam family "Bacterial small subunit ribosomal RNA", at positions 82 to 334 of the family's 1533-position model. The record is from RNAcentral. Lineage: Bacteria; Bacillati; Actinomycetota; Actinomycetes; Actinomycetales.